UCCCUGGUGGUCCAGUGGUUAGGACUUGAUGCUUUCACUGCCAAGGCCCAGGUUUGAUACCUGGUCAGGGAA
Odocoileus virginianus texanus is the source of this 72-nucleotide non-coding RNA. Lineage: Eukaryota; Metazoa; Chordata; Mammalia; Artiodactyla; Cervidae. The record is from the annotation of a RefSeq genome assembly.